This 253-nucleotide ribosomal RNA is filed under the name uncultured bacterium. RNAcentral describes it as "partial 16S ribosomal RNA". It matches the Rfam family "Bacterial small subunit ribosomal RNA", at positions 524 to 776 of the family's 1533-position model. The record is from RNAcentral.
UACAGAGGUGGCAAGCGUUGUUCGGAAUUACUGGGCGUAAAGGGCGCGUAGGCGGCCUUCUAAGUCAGACGUGAAAUCCCCCGGCUUAACCUGGGAACUGCGUCUGAUACUGGGAGGCUUGAGUAUGGGAGAGGGAUGUAGAAUUCCAGGUGUAGCGAUGAAAUGCGUAGAUAUCGAGAGGAACACCUGCGGCGAAGGCGGGUUGCUGGGCUGAUACUGACGCUGAGGCGCGAAAGCCAGGGGAGCGAACGGG